Non-coding RNA from Podarcis lilfordi (Lilford's wall lizard), 1774 nucleotides. NCBI's taxonomy places the organism in Eukaryota, Metazoa, Chordata, Lepidosauria, Squamata, Lacertidae. The record is from the annotation of a GenBank genome assembly.
CCGAACUUUUACUUUUUGGACUGGAAGUGGAGGAGAAAGGAGUUCAGGAGGGGAGGGAGUAGUAGGAAGGACGCGUCAGACUCCCGUUGACAAAUGAGAAUGGGGUAAGCUGUUGCGAUAUGAUUGGCCGCCAGAGACCGGUUGGGCGGACUUCGUGCGGACUGACAGGCAGCCCGCACAGCCUGUCUCUGGGUUCUGCGCCAGACGGGAGGACUUUGCGCUCAGCAGCCCCCAAAGGGAGGGGUAAGAGGGAGGGGUAAGAGGGAUGCGUCAAUUUUAAAAGACUAGCUGUUUAUUAAUUAUUUACUAUUAUUUCUUUCAUAAAAUUUAUGCACCCUUUUUUUAAAUUAAAAAACCCCAAAACUGGUUUACGAAAAAUAUAAAACAAUAAAAUUAUCAAAAGGAAUAAUUAACAGCAAUAAUAGUGUAAGACUUUUUAAAAGUUAAAAUAGCAAUAGAGUAAAAGUAAAAGUAGGUUAAAACUUGCAUUGACUACGUUAAUGACCAUUUUACCUAUUUAUGUAAAACAUGUUUAUACCACCAUAUUCAAAAAGGAAUAAAAUGCAAUUUAAUAUUAAAAUGCAUUUUUCUAAUAAACAAUAAACUGAAAGCCAGGCAAUCAUAAAAGCCUCUAAAUCUAGGGGACCUCGCCAGCCAGCCCGCUCCACAGCUCCACAGUCUUCACUCUCCAAAAUUGCAAACCCAAGACUUCAUGCGAGGGCAAGGCAACUUGGGCCCAGGAACUAUGAGACUCAGGGCUAGCCAGUGGGGCCCAAUUUGAAGCUCUGGGGCCCAACUUGGAAUCUUAGAGUCAGAACUACAAUCCAUCUAGACUGCCCUGGUGCGGGGGCCCCCUUAGGAGCGGUCUGCGGGGCCCAAUUUGGCCCAAUUGCUCCAAUUGCCUUAAGGCCAGCCCUGAUGAGGCUGUGCAGGGGUUGGGAUGACAAGCGCUGCCACUUCUGGGUCCCUGGUGUCACUAUUCAAAGUACAGACUCAAUGACUUGUUAUGGAAAUAAAAGGGGGGAAAUAAAGGGGGGCACUUAUUGGAAAUCAUUUUUGUCACCUCUAAACACCUCUCCUCCUUCAAAACCCCAGGACAAUGAGCCUUUGCACUGUUAAUGGAGAAGGCUGGCAAAUUGUAUCCCUUCUGGUUUCUAUUGGCAAAACUUGUUGCAUUGUUGCAAGGAAGUGUCAGAAUUGUAUCCCUUUGUACUUGACCAUGCUGGACUCCUAACCUUUGAAAAUCACAUAAAAUCAAUGCCAUAACCAAUUCUCCUAUUUCAAUGACAUUUUGCUUCAAAAGGAAAGGCGGACUUGGACAUCAUCUUCCUCCAUAAUCCUCGAAGGGAGAGGUCACGUACUCAACUUGGAUACCACCCUCCUCCAUAAUCCUUGGGAUAUACAGUCAAGUACAGAACACCCCUCCCUUGAGGGGAACAAUGAACAUCUGUUGAUGGGUUUCCUGAGGCCAGGUGUUCCCACAGCCCAUCCUCAGGAAGGCCAGAUAGUUUUAUUGUUAUAGAUAGUUUUAUUGUUAUUUAGGUGGCGGGAACUUAAGGUGUUAAGAACUUGAUCUGAGAACUGAGGCAAGUUGAUGAACUUGGGCAACCUCACGACUCCCCUCCCUCCUUGUGACAUCAUGUUGAUGUAUCAGCGAUGUAUGAAUGAUGGUUCUGGAAAUGUAUUCUGGGUAGGGAGGGAAGGUCUUCAAGGAGCUUGUAACCCAUGUUCGGCGUUCUUACUCUGUGUGGAGACCUGUUGCGCAAUAAUAAAG